GAACGCACGCCCAUCUCCUACUUUUCAGUUUCUUUCAUUUUCUUCUUUUUCCUCUCCUUUCUCGGUUGACCACUUUAUCCUUUUCUUUCUCCAUCUCCUUCUCUUCUUCUUUCUUCUUCCUCACUCUCUCUCUGUUUUCCACGCAGCACCAACAGUCCCUCUCCCCAUCGCACAACGCAUUUCCCUUCUCCCUUAUUCCUUUUCUUCUCCUCAUUUCCCAAUCCUCCUUCACACGCCCAACCGAGAGAUGAACCAAAAGAGAUGGAGAGAGUCACGGACUCGAGAGACCCACGAGAGAAAAACCGAGAUGCUCUGACCGAUCGAAGGUCCAAUCUCCAGUGGGUCGUUGCCGGAGGAGCAGGGGAGGCGAUUUUCGGUGAAGCAAGGAUGAUUCUGGCAAUUUUCAUGGGAUUUUCGGUAGUUUUGAGAAACCUUCAAGAGGAUAGUCUCAGGAUUGGAGACUUUAACUGAUUCUCCAAUGUUGAGUCCAAGUGACUAGAAUCCGAUGGGAUGUUCAAGUCAAGGGUCCAAUGCAGCCAAGAUGAUGUUUCUUUGGCUGCAGGUAUUCCAGUCGUAGUAUAUGGUGUUGUAGAAGUAUACUGAGGAUAUUAUGACUGAAGCUCAACGCGACGGUUGUAAUGUGUUAGACCGCGGGAUGUCUACUCCUUUAGGUAUUUUGAUUAUGGCUUGUGACGCUUGUGCCACAUGAUCUUUGUUAAGCCAUUUAUGUUAUGUAUUUAAUUCGAGGAAAUAUUUAAUCAUAUAGUUAUUUAAUGGCUCUUUGUUGUAAUUAUUUG
Long non-coding RNA from Alnus glutinosa, 797 nucleotides. RefSeq lists it as uncharacterized. Lineage: Eukaryota; Viridiplantae; Streptophyta; Magnoliopsida; Fagales; Betulaceae. The record is from RefSeq and is a predicted model, not a curated record. The transcript has 3 exons.